Molecule: long non-coding RNA, 4188 nt
Filed under: Triticum aestivum (bread wheat)
Lineage: Eukaryota; Viridiplantae; Streptophyta; Magnoliopsida; Poales; Poaceae
Description: long non-coding RNA (TAES_LNC019659)
Source: RNAcentral
GUUGGAAAUAACCACGCUGUCUAAGUCCGGGUCGGACUAGAGUCAAUCACGUGUACAUGUAGGAGUCCUAGUCCUAGUUAGCUUUAGGCUGUUUGGUUUAGCUCCUAUAUAUACUUGUACCCCUGUAAGGUUUUUUAACCUAGAUCAAAAAGAAAUAAAGUAUUAGGUGCGACACACACCUAUUGCUAUCCAUCAGCGUCUCGUAUUUGUUUCGUGUGUGUGCGUGAGUUCCCGGCAAGAUCAAUCGAUCAUGUACGUCUAGCUAGCUUCCACAGAUUCGAUCCACCUGCCUGAGUGCCUACUUGGUUGCAACGUACGUGCGUGUGUUGGUCAAAAGUAUCGACCGGCUAGAACACAUCAAGCAGCCGGGUUGUGCACGUGUGUCACCUCGACGGAAAGUACUCGUCGACGUCGGGACCAGUGCCAACAAUUGGUAUCCUCGGAAAGCAAUCGAAGGAUCAUGUCGACCACGGGCAAGGAGAUUGUGACGGCGGCAGCGGGAGCACCGAUGCCGAUGGUGGGGGGAUCACAAUUCCCCCGUCUGGAUCGAGAGGACUACGCACUAUGGGCGAUGAACAUGGAGGUCGCGAUGGAGGGAGCUGAGUUCUGGGAAGCCGUCGACCCGGGCGGCGCCGAGUACGCAAAGGGCGCGGCAAAGUACCGGAAGGAUCGUCAGGCGUUAACAGCGAUCUACUCCGCCAUGCCGAAGGAUGUGCUGCAACACCUCGUCGGAAAGAACUCGGCGAAGGAGGCAUGGGAGACCAUCAAGAUCCUGCACCAGGGUCAUGACCGUGUCAAGGAAGCACACCUUCAAUCCCUGAUGAGAAGCUACGAGUGCCUGAAGAUGGAUGAAAGUGAGACGGUUGAUCAGUUUGCCGCCCGUCUCAAGACCCUCGUCAACGGCAUACGCAGCUAUGGUUCAACCCUAGAAGAAGUUGCGAUCGUCCGACGAUUUUUGCGCGCCGCGCCGGCACGCUACAUUCAGAUUGUCACGUCGAUCGAGCAAUGUCUCGACCUGAAGACUCUCACGGUUGAGGAUCUCGUCGGAAGGUUCAAGGCCCACGACGAGAGAAUUCGUCUCAGUUUCGGCGACACGGAGGCGAGUGAGCACCUCAUGCUUACAAAGGCGCAAUGGAUCGCCCUGUCGAAAGAAAAGCAAGGCGGAUCUACGAGCAGCGGCAAGAAGAAGGGGAAGGGGAAGCAGCGCUCGGCGAGAAAGAACUUCGCUGACUCGGACGACGAGGAUGCGCCUGCACCACCGAGGAGGAAGUUUGACAUCAGAAAAGUGAGGUGUCAUAAGUGUGGCCUCCUCGAUCACUUCAAGGCUAACUGCGAAGAAGCACCGAAGCAACGGGCGCUUAUGGCCGAGGAAGGAGACGAUGGGGAUAUGAUGCUAAUGUGCGAGCUAGUGGACGAAGAGGAUCCAGAUGAUCUUGGUCAGCCGGACACGGGUCCGGUGAGUGCAUCUGCGUCAGUAAACCCAGGCGAAGUUAUGGCGCCAGAAGACCAUGACCCAGGGCGUGAUAGUGUGAUUACGUCAGUAAACCCAGGCGAAGUCGUGGCGCCCGAAGACCAUGACGUAAGGCGUGACGAUGUGAUCGCGCUCGAGAACGGCGAAGACGUGGCGCCAGAAGUCCAUGACACAAGGCGUGACUGUGUGUUCGCGCUAGAUUCAGGCGAUGACAUGAUGCCAGAAGUCCAUGACACGAGGCAUGAUUAUGUGGUCACGCUGAAAUCAGGCGAAGACGUGGCGCCAGAAGUCCACAACACCAUGUGUGACGGUGUGGUCACGCAAGAAAACAACAAAGACGUGUUGCCAGAACAACCGGAAACUUCGGCAACACGGAGCGAUGCUCCAGACGAUGGCGCGCGGCGAGACGCGUCAGGGACCUCACCUGGAUCAGCUGGCGUCCCAGGAACAGGAGUUGCAGCCUCUCCUCGAAGCACAAGGAGCAGCGCAAGGAGCGCGUCUAGUGCUGGCGCUACAAGCGACACGCAUGGCCUACGAGGCAUGCACGCUGUGCCGUGCAGCUCAGCCAGCUGCACUGGAGGCAGUGGCCCCGCGGACGGGCCGAAAGCUGGGCGUGGCCCAGCACCAAGCUCCCAGCCGGGGAGCCCAGCAGGCAGGCCGGCUACUGGCAGGCCAGAACAGCCAGAAGGCCCAGCCGUGGCUCAACUUUCAGUAGAACACGUGGCUGGAGGACCAGAAGGGCAUGCACGUGAAGCAUCUCUAGUGUUUUUGGCUGGUUCAACUUGUGAAAGUGCAGCUAAUUUGGAAGGUACCAAAUUGCUAGAAAAUGGAACUUUGGCAAGUUCAGAAGCAAGCGUGUUUUCUCCGGUAGCACGAGAACGACGCGUGUUGGAUCUCUCUCCAAAGGAAGCGCUUCAAAUAAAUUCGGUGACGAUGAAGAGUAAAGGGCAACGAUGUUUGCACAUCGGGGAACCGGAAAAUUUUGAAGACGCAAAGACGGAAGAGUGUUGGCGUCGUGCUAUGAAUGAAGAGUUGUGGUCGAUCCGAGACAACAAUACAUGGGAGCUCGCGGAUCUUUCCAACGGUCAGAAUGCCAUAGAGCUCAAGUGGGUGUACAAAGUCAAGAAAGAUGCCGAAAGGAACUUGAUGAAGCAUAAAGCAAGGCUUGUAGCUAAAGCAUGCAUGCAAAAGCAAGAUGUGGACUUCGAAGAAGUGUUCGCUCCAGUUGCAAGGAUGGACUCGGUGAGACUACUUAUAGCUUUCGCGGCUCAAGAAUCUUGGAGGAUACAUCACUUGGAUGUGAACUCCGCGUUUUUGACCGGGGAGUUAGAAGAAGAAUUGUAUGUGAAGCAACCACCAGGGUACAUCCAAGAAGGAGAGGAACACAAGGUAUUGAAGCUACACAAGGCGUUGUACGGGCUACGACAAGCUCCUCAGGCAUGGAAUGUUGAGCUUGACCGUACAUUGAUUUCUCUUGGAUUUGAGAAAGCCCCACUAGAGCAUGCUAUGUACAAGCGAGGUGAUGGCAAUGAUCGUCUACUAGUGGGCAUCUAUGUGGAUGAUUUGCUGAUAACUGGAGCAGACGAAGAGGUGAUUGCAAACUUCAAACUACAAAUGAAGAAGCUAUUCAAGAUGACUGAUCUAGGGCUCUUGAGUUACUACCUCGGGAUCGAGGUACAGCAAAAGCCGGAGGGGAUCAUAAUAUGCCAGGAGGCAUAUGCAAAGAAGGUACUUGAAAGCUGUGGCAUGAAAGAUUGCAAUCCACCUCGUCACAGACUAAGCAAGAAGAGUGAAGCACCCGCGGUUGAUGCAACGGAGUAUAGAAGUGUGGUCCGAAAGUUGAGGUAUCUCACGAAUACAAGACCGGACUUGGCCUAUUCCGUUGGCAUAGUGAGUCGCUUCAUGGAAGCACCCAUGACGGAGCAUUGGGCAGCGGUGGAAAAUAUACUCAGGUACAUCAAAGGGACAACAAAUUUCGGUUGUGUCUACUUGAGAAAGAAGAAGAAGGAGAUGGUGGAGCUACUUGGCUACAGUGAUAGCGACAUGGCAGGAGAUGUGGACGACCGUAAAAGUACCUCGGGUGUGGCAUAUUUUUUGGGAGGAAGCAUAGUGAGUUGGCUGUCACAAAAGCAGAAGGUGGUCGCAUUAUCAUCUCGUGAAGCAGAGUAUAUUGCAGCUGCAACCGCGGUGUGUCAAGGUGUGUGCCUUGGAAGGCUACUCGGUGACCUCACAGGUAAGGAACCGGAAGGAGUGGUGUUCAAUAUUGAUGACGUGUCUACAAUCUCUCUAUGGAAGAAUCCAGUGCAUCAUGGUAGAUGCAAGGACAUCGAUAUGAGACAUCACUACCUAAGGGAGUGUGUGGAAGAAAGCAAGAUCGACAUCAACUACAUUUGCACCGAUGACCAGCUUGCAGAUAUCCUAACCAGAUCUUUGGGACGACAGAAGUUCGUGAAGAUGCGGCGAAGGAUCGGCGUCCAAGCUGUGAAGUGAGGACAUCGUGUUUAGGGGGGUGAUUGUUGGAAAUAACCACGCUGUCUAAGUCCGGGUCGGACUAGAGUCAAUCACGUGUACAUGUAGGAGUCCUAGUCCUAGUUAGCUUUAGGCUGUUUGGUUUAGCUCCUAUAUAUACUUGUACCCCUGGAAGGUUUUUUGAACUCAGAAAAAAGCAAUACAAAGCAUAGGUGCGACACGCACCUAUUAGCCAUCAAAUAUCUUGU